AGAGUUUGAUCAUGGCUCAGGACGAACGCUGGCGGCGUGCUUAACACAUGCAAGUCACGGGGGUCCCGCAAGGGAUAACCGGCGAACGGGUGCGUAACACGUGAACAACCUGCCCUCGUGUGGGGGAUAGCCAUGCUAACGCGUGGGUAAUACCGCAUACGGUCCUUUGGGGGAGUCCCUGGGGGAAGAAAGCUCCGGCGCACGGGGAGGGGUUCGCGGCCUAUCAGCUAGUUGGUGCGGGUAAUGGCCCACCAAGGCGACGACGGGUAGCUGGUCUGAGAGGAUGGCCAGCCACAUUGGGACUGAGAGACGGCCCAGACUCCUACGGGAGGCAGCAGUGGGGAAUCUUGCGCAAUGGCCGAAAGGCUGACGCAGCGACGCCGCGUGUGGGAGGACGCCUUUCGGGGUGUAAACCACUGUUGCCCGGGACGAACAUCCCUUUUCGAGGGGACUGACGGUACCGGGUGAGGAAGCACCGGCUAACUCCGUGCCAGCAGCCGCGGUAAUACGGAGGGUGCGAGCGUUGUCCGGAAUCAUUGGGCGUAAAGGGCGCGUAGGUGGCGGGACAAGCGUGCGGUGAAAGCUCGGGGCUCAACCCCGCGUCGGCCGUGCGAACUGUUUUGCUUGAGCACUGUAGAGGCAGGCGGAAUUCCGGGUGUAGCGGUGGAAUGCGUAGAGAUCCGGAAGAACACCGGUGGCGAAGGCGGCCUGCUGGGCAGUAGCUGACACUGAGGCGCGACAGCGUGGGGAGCAAACAGGAUUAGAUACCCUAGUAGUCC
This 779-nucleotide ribosomal RNA is filed under the name uncultured bacterium. RNAcentral's name for it is "bacterial SSU rRNA". It matches the Rfam family "Bacterial small subunit ribosomal RNA", at positions 8 to 796 of the family's 1533-position model. The record is from RNAcentral.